CGGCGAUGAUUAAUCUGAGUAUCUAGUGGGCCAUUUUUGGUAAGCAGAACUGGCGCUGUGGGAUGAACCAAACGUCGAGUUAAGGGGCCUAAAUGAAUGCUCAUUCAGAUCCCAUCGAAAGGCGUUGGUUGCUAUAGACAGCAGGACGGUGGCCAUGGAAGUCGGAAUCCGCUAAGGAGUGUGUAACAACUCACCUGCCGAAGCAACUAGCCCUUAAAAUGGUAUGGCGCUUAAGCAUUCUCCCGAUACUCGACCGCCGGGGCACUAGCGGCCACGUCCCAGAGGCGAGGUCUCGAAGCCCCGGUGAGUAAGAGGGUCGCAGUGGUGAGCGCUGAAGGGAUCCGGCGUGAGCCGGCCUGGAGCCGCCACUGGUGCAGAUCUUGGUGGUAGUAGCAAAUACUCGAGAGAGACUCCCUUGAAGACCGAUGUGGAGAAGGGUUCCAUGUGAACAUCAGUUGGACAUGGGUUAGUCGCUCCUAAGCCCAAGGCUAAGGCCUGAUCCCAUGCUAGCGGC
This 514-nucleotide ribosomal RNA is filed under the name Euastacus crassus. RNAcentral's name for it is "eukaryotic LSU rRNA". It matches the Rfam family "Eukaryotic large subunit ribosomal RNA", at positions 1100 to 1582 of the family's 3401-position model. Lineage: Eukaryota; Metazoa; Arthropoda; Malacostraca; Decapoda; Parastacidae. The record is from RNAcentral.